AAGUCGUAACAAGGUUUCCGUAGGUGAACCUGCGGAAGGAUCAUUAACACGUAUCCAACGUUAAACCCCCCUGUGAACCUUCAACAGUACUCUUGCAUCCUAUGGAACAGCAAUCCUGGUAAAUCAGUCCCGGAAAGUUAUUGAUUCAGGACCUCUGCCCAAAAAGAUGUGAUGUCGAGCGCAAGUUAAAGUGGCCUAGCUUCCCCAAGCAAUCGGUGUUCUGUCAGUGUCACUGAUUGUGCAAGGAUAACGCUUUACGGAUGCUGUAGGCCGAUCACCGGCCGGCGUCGUGGCCAGCGGCCUAACCGGCCCCUUACAAAACAACCAGUAGUUAGCGAUUACUCCACGACAUAGUCAAGUGGCGCCGUCCUGGAGUUUAACGAACAACUGUUAACAAUGGAUAUCUUGGUUCUCGCAUCGAUGAAGAACG
RNAcentral lists this unclassified non-coding RNA (430 nucleotides) under fungal sp. Its description in RNAcentral is "partial internal transcribed spacer region". The stretch from base 1 to 46 matches the Rfam family "Eukaryotic small subunit ribosomal RNA", at positions 1786 to 1831 of the family's 1831-position model. The record is from RNAcentral. Lineage: Eukaryota; Fungi.